UACGUAGGUGGCAAGCGUUGUCCGGAAUUAUUGGGCGUAAAGCGCUCGCAGGCGGUCUUUUAAGUCUGAUGUGAAAGCCCACGGCUUAACCGUGGAGGGUCAUUGGAAACUGGAGGACUUGAGUGCAGAAGAGGAGAGUGGAAUUCCACGUGUAGCGGUGAAAUGCGUAGAGAUGUGGAGGAACACCAGUGGCGAAGGCGACUCUCUGGUCUGUAACUGACGCUGAGGCGCGAAAGCGUGGGUAGCGAACAGA
RNAcentral lists this ribosomal RNA (253 nucleotides) under uncultured bacterium. RNAcentral's name for it is "partial 16S ribosomal RNA". It matches the Rfam family "Bacterial small subunit ribosomal RNA", at positions 524 to 776 of the family's 1533-position model. The record is from RNAcentral.